CCUACGGGAUGCAGCAGUAGGGAAUCUUCCACAAUGGGCGAAAGCCUGAUGGAGCAACGCCGCGUGGGUGAAGCAGGUCUUCGGAUCGUAAAACCCUGUUGUUAGAGAAGAAAGUGCGUGAGAGUAACUGAUCACGUUUCGACGGUAUCUAACCAGAACGCCACGGCUAACUACGUGCCAGCAGCCGCGGUAAUACGUGGGUGGCAAGCGUUAUCCGGAUUUAUUGGGCGUAAAGGGAACGAAGGCGGUCUUUUAAGUCUGAUGUGAAAGCCGUCGGCUUAACCGGAGUAGUGCAGUGGAAACUGGGAGACUUGAGUGCAGAAGAGGAGAGUGGAACUCCAUGUGUCGCGGUGAAAGGCG
RNAcentral lists this ribosomal RNA (360 nucleotides) under uncultured bacterium. Its description in RNAcentral is "partial 16S ribosomal RNA". It matches the Rfam family "Bacterial small subunit ribosomal RNA", at positions 338 to 690 of the family's 1533-position model. The record is from RNAcentral.